CCUUUGGUAUUCCAGAGGGCAUGCCUGUUUGAGUAUCAUGAACACCUCAACUCCUCACGGUCCGCCGUGAUGAGCUUGGACUUUGGGGGUCUUGCUGGCCUGCGGUCGGCUCCUCUCAAAUGAAUCAGCUUGCCAGUGUUUGGUGGCAUCACGGGUGUGAUAACUAUCUACGCUUGUGGUUUUCCACCAGGUAACCUUCAGCAAUGGAGGUUCGCUGGGGCUCACAAAUGUCCCUCCUCGGUGAGGACAGCUUCUUGAAUGUUUGAUCUCAAAUCAGGUAGGGCUACCCGCUGAACUUAAGCAUAUCAAUAAGCGGAGG
RNAcentral lists this ribosomal RNA (319 nucleotides) under uncultured Tomentella. Its description in RNAcentral is "eukaryotic LSU rRNA". The stretch from base 264 to 319 matches the Rfam family "Eukaryotic large subunit ribosomal RNA", at positions 1 to 56 of the family's 3401-position model. The record is from RNAcentral. Lineage: Eukaryota; Fungi; Basidiomycota; Agaricomycetes; Thelephorales; Thelephoraceae.